RNAcentral lists this ribosomal RNA (137 nucleotides) under Lactobacillus iners. RNAcentral describes it as "partial 23S ribosomal RNA". It matches the Rfam family "Bacterial large subunit ribosomal RNA", at positions 1 to 136 of the family's 2925-position model. Lineage: Bacteria; Bacillati; Bacillota; Bacilli; Lactobacillales; Lactobacillaceae. The record is from RNAcentral.
AGGUCAAGUAGAGAAGGGCGCACGGUGAAUGCCUAGGCACUGGAAGCCGAUGAAGGACGUGACAAACGACGAAAUGCUUCGGGGAGCGGUAAGUACGCAGAGAUCCGGAGAUAUCCGAAUGGGGGAACCCGGCACCG